Molecule: ribosomal RNA, 3417 nt
Filed under: Triticum aestivum (bread wheat)
Lineage: Eukaryota; Viridiplantae; Streptophyta; Magnoliopsida; Poales; Poaceae
Description: partial small subunit ribosomal RNA
Source: RNAcentral
AUGGAGGUAAGCCAGAUGCGGACCAAGGGGAUCUUGCCGGCGUGCUGCGCGCGACCGGAGCUCGCCGGUACCGGGCGGCGUGGGAGAGAGGGGUUUGGGGGUAAGAGAGGAGGCCACGAGGGUUUGGGUGGCCGUGGGCCUAAGAUCUUCAAGAUCAGUGGUCAAGUGUCUCAUCGUAUUGGUUCACUGGUGCCCAACGGUGAUGAUGCUCCUAAGUUUGCUGAGUUGUACAUACAUGACCCCGCUAAUGAGAUUAUACAUAGGAUCAAUGCUUUAAAUCCAGACGAUAAACCUACUGGGGGGUCGAUGAGAACCUUUAGGGAGAAGAGUAAGAUGAUAGAGGAUCGCGGUGAUGAACCUAUCGAGGAUAUCUCGAUUCGUAUUAUAGGGCCUUCAGAUGAUGAUAGUCCACAAUUUAGCUUGCCUACAACUAAUGGGAAAGCUGCUUUGGUUGUCGGUGGUGGGUUCACGUUAGAGGCGUCUUCCCAGGAUAUUGUUGUCCGCAGUCGUUCUGAUGGUUUGCAGCAGAUAUCUUCUCUGAACGCUGCGUUCAUGCCUCUGCAAUACCCAUUGCUUUUUCCUUAUGGUGAGAGGGGGUUCCAGAUUGAUGUUCCUCACCUGAUUGUUCCUGAAGAAGGUGAUGAUGAUGGGGCCGUAGAUCCUGAUCCUGCACCUGGAAGUCCAUUUGUUGAGGCGUCUUCUUUGUAUCCUUCUGGGGGUGGUGACUCGGACACGAAUAGUCGGAAUAGGAUGACCAUGCAAGAUUACUAUCGUUUUAUGUGCCAUUACAAAGGUGAUCAACCCAAUCCAUAUAUAUGCUAUGGUCUCCUCUCCUCCCAGUCCGUUGUUGAUGCAUGCGCGUGCAUCGAUGAGAGUAGACUGUGGUAUAUCAUAAGAAAUCAGGACAUGUUCAGAUCAGAGCAUAUGCAGGGUAUCACCGAUGCAAACUUCCAUGAUGGCAUUGCCAUUUGUCGGGUGCAUGAUGCACCAGACGUAUUUACCACUUUCACUUGUAAUCCCAAGUGGCCCAAGAUCACCACUGCAUUAGAGCCAGGGCAGGCACCUUCUGAUAGGGCAGAUGUUGUUGUUAGGGUCUAUCACAUGAAGCUUGCCGAGUACUUGGAUGAGAUCAAGUCAGGCCGGGCUUUUGGCCCCAUUAAAGCUGUCCUAUAUACUGUUGAGUUCCAGAAGCGUGGGCUGCCACACACGCAUAUACUUGUCUGGUGGAUAGGGGGCAACGGUGAGAUUGGUGUUGAAAAUAUUAAUUCAUUAAUAUCUGCUGAGAUACCCGAUGCGUUGCUUGAUCCUCUAGGGCAUGUUGUUCCUUAUAAUAUGGCGAUGCUCAAGAAAUUUCAGGGUCAUAUAAAUGUAGAGUGGUGUAAUAAGACACAAGUGAUGAAAUACCUCUUCAAGUACGUCACCAGGGGUGCUGAUUACUCUAAGGUCAUGUUAGCAAGUUUAACGGUGGUCGUGUGUUUUGGUGAUGACCCUUUUGUUGUAGAUGGCGAUGGCUGGUCUGCAGUCUCUUGUUGUCGGGACAGGAACUUGACCAUCCGUGUGUAUGUUUCGCGUUUGUGGCAGCACCGUGGGGACGCUGAUGACGGUCCUACUAAACACACUGACAUGGUCCUUUUGGAUGCCCAAGGAAACCACAUCUAUGGUGAGAUUGGUGAGAAGCUUGUGCCUAAGUUUAUGGGCAAAAUGAAGGCAGGAUGUGCAUAUGACAUUUCACAGUUCUUGGUGUUCCUGAACAAACCUUGUUUCAAGCCUAUCUAUGCGAUACACAUGAUCAGGUUCAAUAGGUUCAGUACGGCCGAUCCUAAUACUGAUCCAGAAGCUCAGUUUCAGUAUCAUAGCUCGAACAGGAGCGAGCCUUCCACAAAGCGUUGUAUCAGUAUCAUGGACCUAAGGUAUGCCAUCUUGCCCUGUCAGGGAGACUACAUUAUCGAGCUGGGCUCGAUUGAACCAGUGGUUGCACUAUUUGUUGGAACUCUGGUGAAGGCCUAUGAAGGUCGAAGGGGUGUGAGAGGAAGUGCAGCGUGUCGGUGGUACAUAAAUGAUGACACUUCUGAGAUGAUAGACUUCCAUAAGAGUGUCGGUAUAAAGAGAGUGCCAGCAAGUGGUCUACCUAAGUCUGUGUUGUGUAAACCCUUAUUUUCCGAUGGCCGUGCUCAGGGGCUCAAAAAACUGGAUGAUGCUCUGCUGGUCUCGGUGUCUGGGCUACCACUAAGCAAGAAAUUAACGUUGGAACCGGCACUCCGCGCCAAGGCGCGCUCCCGAUAUAGUUGGAAAAUUCAUGGAGAUAUCCAAGCUGAAAUCGUCGUCACCUCGCCUCCUAACAAUAAGGUGCGUUCUCGCGGUGAUCAAAGAACCGCCCACGGAGUGCAAGAGCAAUCUCAUCGUGGACCCUCCAUUGGAGUUUCCCGGCCGCCUCCACUGCACCCUCAAGAACGGGAGAGGCACCGACAUCACGCUCCUCGUGGGAGGCAGGGAGUUGCCCGGCUUGCCGUGCAGUCCACGGUUUUCGACGCUCAGCUCUUCGGUCCGAUGAUGGAUAAGGACACACCGUGCAUAGAGAUCGUUGACAUGGAGCCGGCCAUCUUCGAGAUGCUUCUUCACUAUGUCUACACGGAUUCACUGCCACCGUGCAGUGACGGUGACUACGAUGCAGCCACACUGCAGCAUCUGCUAGUUGCCGCGGUCCGGUACGGGCUGGACAGGUUGAAGGUGAUGUGCGAAAAGAGGUUGUGCAGAAACAUCGACGCGAGCACAGUCACGAGCACAUUGGCACUAGCAACUCACCACAACUCUGACCAGCUCAAGGAUGCAUGCCUAGAGUUUAUAUCGUCGUCGCGGGAAGUCAUGGAUGCAGUCGUGGUAACCGACGCGUUCAAACACCUAAUGGCAAGUUGCCCCAUGCUGGAGCUGGAUAAGAGUCUCGGGCAAAAAUUACCCAUCAAGAGGAAGAAAACUCUGAUUAGCCUCCUCAGCGAUCUUCAUCAAGCUCCGCCACUGAGAAGAGCCCCGUCUUCCUCCUCUGACGUCCCAACGCUAGCCUCCGAGUUCUACCUUGUUGACAUUGGACGCUUCACCAGGUGCAGCUCGAUCGAUCCAAGUGGUGUCGCGCUGCGGCUGCGGUCACAAUCAUGUUUGCUCCAGGUGCAGUGUCAUACACCUUUGACUGGGGUAGUUUUCCCAGAGAGGGGAGGGGGGGGGGGGGCAAGUGCCCCCUUUGGCCCCGUGAAGCUCCGCCACUGUAUGCAUGUACAUAGAUUUCUCACCGCGGCCAACCAGCUUGCACCAUGUGGCAUAGCUGGUUGGCCCCCCUUCAUGCGACACUUACUGAGUUUAAUGAAGGAUACGGAGGGCAUGCAUGUAGUAGAAAGUAGAAAGUUAAAUGGUUACGUGGGCGCUUGA